GCUUCUGCCUCGUGGCUUCGUGUGGUCUUCGUGUGUGCGCUCGUGUGUGCGUUUCCACUACACAUUUUCCGUGCGAUUUUUCAACAGUUUGCAAAAAAGCAGUGUUUUUGCGCGCCGAACACGAGGCCUCAGCUCCAGCUUUCAGUCUGUGUUCGCUGUCUGUUGCUUGCGGUUCGACUUUAGCCAGCAACCGGGGCUCCCCAACAGCAGCAGCAGAGGCAGAAGCAGAAGCAGAAGCAUUCCGUUCCUCGAUCCGUUGCAUCCACACAGCGUGCGUUGAACAUUUUUUUUGAGAAUUGUUUUUAAAUCAAAAGGAGCCACCUAUCAGAGAAGAAGUUGGAAAAAAAUAUGAAAUAAAACUACGAAAAAAAGUAAAAAAAAAAUAAAAUAAAACUUGUGAAAACAAAAAAAUCGUAAAAAAAACACGUAGAACCGUACUCCUGGCUCGACUCAGGAACGUCGCUUUUUUGGUAUCCUACGUUCGACCAAACGGAAAGAAGUUGCCACACCACCGCCGACCUACCGCCCGAAUGGCG
This 536-nucleotide unclassified non-coding RNA is filed under the name Drosophila pseudoobscura pseudoobscura. Its description in RNAcentral is "GA20747". Lineage: Eukaryota; Metazoa; Arthropoda; Insecta; Diptera; Drosophilidae. The record is from RNAcentral.